This is a long non-coding RNA of Carassius gibelio (silver crucian carp), 697 nucleotides long. RefSeq lists it as uncharacterized. The record is from RefSeq and is a predicted model, not a curated record. The transcript has 4 exons. Lineage: Eukaryota; Metazoa; Chordata; Actinopteri; Cypriniformes; Cyprinidae.
UUCUUCCCCUCUUCCACCUCCACUGCGGCAGAGGAAAAGAAGGUUAAACACCUUUACCGCGUCAAACUCUACCACCCCUGUCUCUCCUCCAUAUCCAUCUGCCUCUUCCAUUUCCAAGCCUUUGAGUCAGGAGGUGCCACUGGUAAAGAACAGAAGAAAAGGUUGUCAAAAAUGUAGUAGGCAGAAGGUUUUCCUUUUUGAUAAAAUAAAUGGGGAACGAAUAAAUGAGGGGAAAGCUGAAUUGAAAGUUCACUGGUUGCCUUGCACUGUGUGUGGCAAAACCUGGGAUGACACAUGGGAGCCUGCGAGUGAAUUCCAACACAUUGUGCCAAAGUCCCCACAUCCCAACCAGCUUUCAGCAUGACAACAUAGUCACCAUAGACACCUGGACUCAUCAAGCACCCUUCAAUGCAGUUUAUUUUUGAGUGUUUUUUCUUGCUGUUUGUUCUUCAGUAAAGUUUUUGCACAUUACCCAGUCUCUUUUAGUGUUUAGUCUCUUACAGUUGUCUUUUUAAAAACUUUUUGCAUUGGUCUUGAACUGCUUAACAGUGUACCUUGCGAGAUCUUAAGUUUCUUGUCCGUGAGCAUAAGCUCAUGAAUACCAAAUAAUACUCCAAAAGCUACUAAAUUGUCACUCAAGUUUUGUAUUCAUGUUUGAAGUGUUUGAUUACAAUAAUAGAUAUGAAUUACUUUAUUA